This 756-nucleotide ribosomal RNA is filed under the name uncultured Tannerella sp. RNAcentral's name for it is "bacterial SSU rRNA". It matches the Rfam family "Bacterial small subunit ribosomal RNA", at positions 28 to 776 of the family's 1533-position model. The record is from RNAcentral. Lineage: Bacteria; Pseudomonadati; Bacteroidota; Bacteroidia; Bacteroidales; Tannerellaceae.
GAUGAACGCUAGUGAUAGGCUUAACACAUGCAAGUCGAGGGGCAGCAAUUUGUAGCAAUACGAAGUUGGCGACCGGCGCACGGGUGAGUAACGCGUAUGCAACCUACCCGCAACAGAAGGAUAAUCCGGCGAAAGUCGGUCUAAUACUUCAUAAUACAGGGACACCGCAUGGUGAUAUUUGUUAAAGAUUAAUUGGUUGCGGAUGGGCAUGCGUGCCAUUAGGUAGUUGGUGAGGUAACGGCCCACCAAGCCGACGAUGGUUAGGGGUUCUGAGAGGAAAAUCCCCCACACUGGUACUGAGACACGGACCAGACUCCUACGGGAGGCAGCAGUGAGGAAUAUUGGUCAAUGGGCGAGAGCCUGAACCAGCCAAGUCGCGUGAAGGAAGACGGCCCUAUGGGUUGUAAACUUCUUUUGCAGGGGAAUAAAGAUAUCCACGUGUGGGUAGUUGUAUGUACCCUGCGAAUAAGCAUCGGCUAACUCCGUGCCAGCAGCCGCGGUAAUACGGAGGAUGCGAGCGUUAUCCGGAUUUAUUGGGUUUAAAGGGUGCGUAGGUGGGCUAUUAAGUCAGUGGUGAAAGUUUGUCGCUCAACGAUAAAAUUGCCGUUGAAACUGGUGGUCUUGAGUAUGGAUGAAGUAGGCGGAAUGCGUGGUGUAGCGGUGAAAUGCAUAGAGAUCACGCAGAACUCCGAUUGCGAAGGCAGCUUACUAAGGCAUAACUGACACUGAAGCACGAAAGCGUGGGUAUCAAACAGG